Molecule: ribosomal RNA, 776 nt
Filed under: uncultured Neocallimastigales
Lineage: Eukaryota; Fungi; Neocallimastigomycota; Neocallimastigomycetes; Neocallimastigales
Description: partial large subunit ribosomal RNA
Rfam family: Eukaryotic large subunit ribosomal RNA
Source: RNAcentral
UACUAGAGUAGCACUCGCAUAUCAAUAAGCGGAGGAAAAGAAACUAACAAGGAUUCCCUUAGUAACGGCGAGUGAAGCGGGAAGAGCUCAAAUUUGAAAUCUUCAAGGUUCUACCUUGACGAAUUGUAGUUUAAAGAAGUGUUUUCUGUUAGUGGAGUGGCAAAAGUUCUUUGGAAUAGGACAUCAUAGAGGGUGAGAAUCCCGUAUUUGGUCAUUCCUUCUAGCUUUGUGAUACACUUUCAAAGAGUCGGAUUGUUUGGGAAUGCAGUCCAAAAUGGGUGGUAAAUUUCAUCUAAAGCUAAAUAUUGGCGAGAGACCGAUAGCGAACAAGUACCGUGAGGGAAAGAUGAAAAGAACUUUGAAAAGAGAGUUAAACAGUACGUGAAAUUGUCAAAAGGGAAGCGUUUGACACCAGUGUUGUUUUUCUGAAAAUCAAUUAAAGAACUGUUUAUGCUAAGUUGUUUAGACUUUAUCAGCUAACUGUUUAGUUUUGAGCUUUUCUUUAAUGCACUUUUCAGUUAACAAGUCAACAUCAAUUUCCUUUUGCUGUAAAAAAGCUUGAGGAAGGUGGCUUGAGAUUCGUCUUAAGUGUUUAUAGCCUCUUGCCUAUGCAGUCGGAGAGAUUGAGGUCUGCAGCGUAGAUCCUUCGGGGCUAAAUGCAUUUGUAGCUAAGUUAUAGCAUUUCAUAGACAACUUGUUGACUAUGAUUUGUCUUGUAGCUUACUCGCUUAUGUUAUUUUACCUACGCUUAGGAUGUUGAUAUCGCGCUCUCACUG